AUGGAUGAGAAUGGGACACCAGAUUACAGCGACGGGGGCUCGGACAUGGACCUGCUCAUGCUCUCAGGGUUUGAUGACCUUGACAGUUUCCCAGAGCUCGGCGCCGGUCCUUCAUUUAGUGACGGUAUCUUGUCGUCUUUCAGUGUUUCACCUGCGCAGCAGGUGACACAUAUCUCACCUUCACAACCUUCUGUGGAUGCUGAGGAGCAAGGUGAUGUUUCCAUUACUGAUGGUAGUGAUUGCUCUGUCAGUUUAGCCUCUAAAGAGGUCAUGAAUGUGAGCGCUUCCACUGUCCCAAAGACAGUUUAUGGCGGCGUCACCCUGACGGAGAGGAUGCUCAGGGCAUUGGCCAUGCUUAAAGAAGCAUCAACUGCUGGGCCAGUCCUUGUGCAAGUUUGGAUCCCUGUAAGAAAUGGAGAUCAUCAAGUGCUGACCACCUCUGACCAGCCUUUCUUGCUUGAUGAGAGGCUCACAGGGUACAGGGAAGUCUCUAGGCAGUUUACAUUCUCAGCCACAGAAGGACCUGGUCUGUUUCCUGGAUUGCCUGGGCGUGUUUUCAUAUCCGGUAUGCCAGAGUGGACAUCAAACGUGAUGUACUACAACACUUCAGAGUUCUUGAGGGUAGACUAUGCAAUUCGCAAUGAAGUCCGGGGAUCCCUUGCCAUGCCGGUUUUCAACUCAAGUGGCGGCUCUUGCUGUGCUGUGUUGGAAGUAGUCAUGACACAGGAAAAGGAUAACUUUUGCUCAGAGAUGGACAACCUUUCUAAUGCUCUGCAGUCUGUUCAGCUGAGCACUGUGCGAGCAAGGACACAUCCUCAGAGCCUUACUAGGAAUCAGCAAUCAGUAUUGACGGAAAUAUUGGAUGUUCUCCAAGGUGUUUGCCAUACACACAUGCUACCUUUGGCACUUGCAUGGAUUCCAGUUUGCCCCAACAGCAGUUUGAAUGUGUCAGCAGAGUAUGGUGACCAGGCUAUAAAGUUUGGUCUGAGGAAGAAAGAUGUCCUUUGCGUACAAGAAUCUGCCUGUUACAUCAAUGACAUGAGAAUGCAUGAUUUUCUCCGUGCCUGUGCAGAACACCCCCUUGAGAAAGGACAAGGUGUUGCUGGAAAUGCAAUUUUAUCAAAUCAUCCCUUCUUCUCAUCUGAUGUGAGAGAAUAUGAUAUGCAUGAUUAUCCGCUGGCACAUCAUGCCCGUAAGUUUGGUCUUCAUGCUGCUGUUGCUAUCAGGUUGCGUAGCACAUACACUGGCGAUGAUGAUUAUGUGUUAGAGUUUUUCCUUCCACUGACGUGCAAAGUUCGUGAAGAACAACAGCUCUUACUUGACGACAUCUCAAUAACCAUGCAAAGAGUAUGCAGUAGUCUGAGAACAGUUUCAGAUGCUGAACUGAAGGAAAACACCACAACAAUGCGAUCAGAAAUAAGAUGCUCAUCGUCUGAUGUUUCUAUUAGUUCAUGUAACCAAAUCGAUGUAUCCAGUGAAGUCAAAAUAAAUGUGCUUUUAGAAAAUCAGAUAAGAAACAGUGUUGAGCAACUGGCGGAUAAAAAAUAUGCUAAGUUUGAACCUGGCACUACAUCUCAAAAUUUUGAAAACUGCAGCUCAACAGGGAAGAAUGUUAGCUUGACUGUCCUUCAGGAAUCUACAUCUGAUGGGCUGAAAAUACGCAGCUCAACGGAGAAGCAUGUUAGCUUGAAAGUCCUUCAGCAAUACUUUGCUGGCAGUUUAAAAGAUGCUGCAAAGAGCAUUGGUGUUUGUCCUACAACACUGAAAAGGAUAUGCCGGCAGCAUGGAAUAUCAAGGUGGCCAUCUCGUAAGAUAAAGAAGGUAAAUCGGUCACUAGAGAAGAUUCAGAAUGUGAUAAGUACUGUACACGGAGUGGAUGGAGUGAUAAAAUAUGAUCCUGCCACUGGAUGUAUUGUUUCAUCUGUUUCCCAUACCGAAGAGCCUCCGAUAAUGAAUGUUGAACAUCGAAGUUCUGAUUCCCUGCCCACUGAAUGCCGUAAGUUCCAACCUGAUUAUGAUGCAUACCAAAGAGAACAUCUAGGCCAAGCUGUACCCCACAAAGCACAGAAUGAGAAAAGGAGCGAAACCCAUAUUAACCUGAAUCCUGGAGGGUUAUCUCGAAAUUCACAUUUUGGUAGAACAUCAAAAGGGUCAGAGUGUCAGGAUGCGUCAAACGGUUCAUAUCUUACAAAAGAAAUGAUCUGUCCUGGCGGUAUGGAGAUGUGGGUUGAGGGAGCUGAGCAAAAGAAUGUAUUGUGGAAUUCUGUUUCUAUGCCACAGCAAUGCAAAAUUGAGAUAGAAACAGACAAGUCUAAUGCGAUUGUUGAGCAAAGCCUGGCAUCUUCUUCCAGCAUGACAGAUUGCUCCAGUGGCGGUACAUCGAGUGAUGGGACUUUGAAGAAAUGCUUGAAGAGUCGACCAGUUGAUGGAAGCAAUGCGAGCAUAGUUGUGAAGGCCGCUUACAAGGAUGACACUGUAAGGUUGAAAUUACUACCAUCCAUGAAAUACCAGGAUCUGCUUGAAGAAAUCGCAAAGAGGCUGAAGCUAUCAGUUGGCGCAUUUCAGCUCAAGUACAAGGAUGAUGAGGAUGAAUGGGUGAUUUUAGCGAGCGACGCUGAUCUCCAGGAAUGCCUUGAUGUACUAGACACCACCGGGGCACGCAUCAUGAAAGUUCAAGUACGAGAUGUUCCAUGUGCCACCGGAGCUUCUUCGGGUAGUAGCUUUAUAUCUGGUCGAUAG
RNAcentral lists this ribosomal RNA (2739 nucleotides) under Triticum aestivum (bread wheat). RNAcentral's name for it is "partial small subunit ribosomal RNA". The record is from RNAcentral. Lineage: Eukaryota; Viridiplantae; Streptophyta; Magnoliopsida; Poales; Poaceae.